RNAcentral lists this transfer RNA (77 nucleotides) under Candidatus Kaiserbacteria bacterium. RNAcentral describes it as "tRNA-Val". It matches the Rfam family "tRNA". Rfam says of the family: Transfer RNA (tRNA) molecules are approximately 80 nucleotides in length. Their secondary structure includes four short double-helical elements and three loops (D, anti-codon, and T loops). Further hydrogen bonds mediate the characteristic L-shaped molecular structure. tRNAs have two regions of fundamental functional importance: the anti-codon, which is responsible for specific mRNA codon recognition, and the 3' end, to which the tRNAs corresponding amino acid is attached (by aminoacyl-tRNA synthetases). tRNAs cope with the degeneracy of the genetic code in two manners: having more than one tRNA (with a specific anti-codon) for a particular amino acid; and 'wobble' base-pairing, i.e. permitting non-standard base-pairing at the 3rd anti-codon position. Lineage: Bacteria; Candidatus Kaiseribacteriota. The record is from RNAcentral. RNAcentral also lists the same sequence under 1 other name.
GGGCGCUUAGCUCAGUUGGUCAGAGCAACCCGUUUACACCGGGUAGGUCGGGGGUUCGAAUCCUCCAGCGCCCACCA